CCUACGGGCGGCUGCAGUGAGGAAUCUUCCACAAUGGGCGAAAGCCUGAUGGAGCGACACCGCGUGAAGGAUGAAGCCUUUGUUGGUGUAAACUUCUUUUCUCUGGGAAGAUAAUGACGGUACCAGAGGAAUAAGGGGCGGCAAACUUCGUGCCAGCAGCCGCGGUAAUACGAGGGCCCCAAGCGUUAUCCGGAAUUACUGGGCGUAAAGCGUCUGUAGGUGGUUUGAAAAGUCUCAAGUGAAAGAUCAGGGCUCAACCCUGAUUCGCUUGGGAAACUAUCAAACUUGAGUGCGGGAGAGGCAAGCAGAACUGUAUGAGUAGGGGUGCAAUCCGUUGAUACAUACAAGAAUACCAAAAGCGAAGGCAGCUUGCUGGAACGCCACUGACACUGAGAGACGAAAGCGUGGGGAGCAAAAGGGAUUAGAUACCCCAGUAGUC
RNAcentral lists this ribosomal RNA (439 nucleotides) under uncultured bacterium. RNAcentral's name for it is "bacterial SSU rRNA". It matches the Rfam family "Bacterial small subunit ribosomal RNA", at positions 338 to 795 of the family's 1533-position model. The record is from RNAcentral.